CCUACGGGUGGCAGCAGUGGGGAAUAUUGCGCAAUGGAGGAAACCCUGACGCAGCAACGCCGCGUGAAGGAUGAAGGUCUUCGGAUUGUAAAGUUCUUUUCUAAGGGAAGAAGAAAGUGAUGGUUCCUUAGGAAUAAGCCUCGGCUAACUACGUGGCAGCAGCCGCGGUACUACGUGGGAGGCGAGCGUUAUCCGGAAUGACUGGGCGCAAAGGGCGCGUUGGUGGUAUGGCAAGUUAGUGGCGAAAUUCCAGGGCUCAACCUUGGAACUGCUACUGAAACUGUUGGACUUGAGUGCGGGAGAGGCAAGCGGAAUUCCUAGUGUAGCGGUAAAAUGCGUAGAUAUUAGGAGGAACACCAGUGGCGAAGGCGAGUUGCUAG
Molecule: ribosomal RNA, 380 nt
Filed under: uncultured bacterium
Lineage: Bacteria
Description: partial 16S ribosomal RNA
Rfam family: Bacterial small subunit ribosomal RNA
Source: RNAcentral